Molecule: small nuclear RNA, 100 nt
Organism: Oryctolagus cuniculus (rabbit)
Lineage: Eukaryota; Metazoa; Chordata; Mammalia; Lagomorpha; Leporidae
Source: Ensembl
AAUAUGAAAUGAUAUUAGAAGAGUUUAUAUGAUACAGAGAAGAUUAGCAUGGCCCCUGCGCAAGGAUGACACACAAAUUAGUGAAGCGUUCCAUAUUUAA